UUGGCGUUUCAAUUUUUCCAAUUCUUCUUUUACUAGAUUUUUUGUCUCCACAAGUCAUUGUUUGACUGAUUGUUUCCUCAAACUAACCAAAUGGGAUUCUUUUCUAUCCAAAUUUCUCAAAAUAGCUCAGGGAUCCAGGGCAUUAAACAUCAAAGUAUCGAUGCAUAAAGCUAAAUUAGCAAGUUUAAAAGAAAAAGGUAUGAAUUACAAAAAAAACACAGAAGAACCUGCAAGAGUUUGUAGACUGGUGGCUAACUGGCCAUUGCAUCUGGGGUCAGCUAAUUGAGAAGACAAGACCACCGGAUUAUCAGCCCCAUUUCAUCAGGCUUCUCAAGUUGAUGACGAAUUUCUGAUGAUCUUCGUCCUCCACUCAAAUUAGUUAAGAAC
RNAcentral lists this long non-coding RNA (387 nucleotides) under Coffea arabica (coffee). Its description in RNAcentral is "long non-coding RNA (CARA_LNC000470)". Lineage: Eukaryota; Viridiplantae; Streptophyta; Magnoliopsida; Gentianales; Rubiaceae. The record is from RNAcentral.